RNAcentral lists this long non-coding RNA (290 nucleotides) under Zea mays. Its description in RNAcentral is "long non-coding RNA (ZMAY_LNC003985)". The record is from RNAcentral. Lineage: Eukaryota; Viridiplantae; Streptophyta; Magnoliopsida; Poales; Poaceae.
GGGAGAUAUCCAGUGACUGUAGGGAUCUUUGUGGAAGCCGGAAAACGUCUAACAGUUUCAAGAAGAAUUCUGCCUUAUGGUCUGUACCACAUGUUUUUGCUGCUACGCAAGUAAAGAACUCCACGUCUGUCAAUGUUAGUUUUACAACAUCGUCUACGGACAAAAAAAAAACCCCCCGCUAUUUGAUUGUUGCUAAGCCUUCGUACGACGUGUAAAUGGUUUGGUACAAUGAGUGCUGCGACUACGAUUGAGCACCCCUCUACCUAGUUUGCAAAAAAACAGUGUCCCAU